RNAcentral lists this ribosomal RNA (468 nucleotides) under uncultured bacterium. Its description in RNAcentral is "partial 16S ribosomal RNA". It matches the Rfam family "Bacterial small subunit ribosomal RNA", at positions 28 to 507 of the family's 1533-position model. The record is from RNAcentral.
GAUGAACGCUGGCGGCGUGCUUAACACAUGCAAGUCGAACGGUGAAGGCGGAGCUUGCUCUGCUGGAUCAGUGGCGAACGGGUGAGUAACACGUGAGCAAUCUGCCCCUGACUCUGGGAUAAGCGCUGGAAACGGCGUCUAAUACUGGAUACGAGCUGCGAAGGCAUCUUCAGCAGCUGGAAAGAACUUCGGUCAGGGAUGAGCUCGCGGCCUAUCAGCUUGUUGGUGAGGUAACGGCUCACCAAGGCGUCGACGGGUAGCCGGCCUGAGAGGGUGACCGGCCACACUGGGACUGAGACACGGCCCAGACUCCUACGGGAGGCAGCAGUGGGGAAUAUUGCACAAUGGGCGAAAGCCUGAUGCAGCAACGCCGCGUGAGGGACGACGGCCUUCGGGUUGUAAACCUCUUUUAGCAGGGAAGAAGCGAAAGUGACGGUACCUGCAGAAAAAGCGCCGGCUAUCUACGUG